This 22-nucleotide non-coding RNA is filed under the name Arabidopsis thaliana (thale cress). Lineage: Eukaryota; Viridiplantae; Streptophyta; Magnoliopsida; Brassicales; Brassicaceae. The record is from RNAcentral.
UCAGCAAGCCGUUUUAUGUAAA